RNAcentral lists this small RNA (835 nucleotides) under Rattus norvegicus (Norway rat). RNAcentral describes it as "uncharacterized LOC102552514". The record is from RNAcentral. Lineage: Eukaryota; Metazoa; Chordata; Mammalia; Rodentia; Muridae.
AUUGCGACCCCAGCUGGCACCGCCCGGGCAUGGGUGCGAAAGAAAUAGGGCCGCCCUGCCCUGGCCCGUGGACUAGAGACCUCACCUCUGCAUUUCCUCCUUGCUCUUCACCGCUCUCAUCAGAAAAGCUAGGACGCAGGGAUUUGGCCUGGCGCUGCUUGUACCCCAAGAUCUGGUUGCCUCAAGACAAGCAAAUCCUCACAUAUACCAGUUUAUAUUGAAUAACGCCUCACCCUCAACCCCACUCCUGUUUAUCCCUGAUUGGUUAAUGAAGGUGCCUUCAGCCAGCAGCUGGGCAGAAGAGAGUUUCAGAUAGACCAGGAGGAUGAAGAAACUGGAGCCAUGAGAAAGGGAUCUGGAGCGAGAUCACAGAAACACACCUGAAGCCCAAAGAACACGACAAUAAGAAUUAGGGUCAUGGAUGGAGGUAUUCAGACUACCUUUGAGGUUAACAGAUUGUUUAACUACUCAGCCAGAGAGGUGCUGCUUGAACUAAAGCUUGGUUUCUCUGUGUGCUUUCCGGAGACUAGCGUAAGAUAAAAGAAAUACGGCUGCUGGGCUAAUUGAACAUUUAUAUUAAAAAUAAUUCACUUUAUACAUCCCUGUUUGAAGUUCUUACUCCUGCUGAUUUGGGCCAACGCAUCAUUAUCUGGGCUUUAGUUUCAUUCUAUGGUUUGACAAGUUUUUAGGUCUUGUUGAAAUCUCCCCUGAAGACAAGUUCCCCUUCAGGCUGGUGCCCUUUCCUUCUUCCAGCAUGAGAUUCCUGGAGAAAUUCGCAUUUCUUCCAGAUCUAUUGUUUGGAGCUGGAAAGUUGGCUCAGCGGUUAAGAGCACUG